UUCGGAGAAAUCAAAUAAUUUC
RNAcentral lists this small nuclear RNA (22 nucleotides) under Arabidopsis thaliana (thale cress). RNAcentral's name for it is "snRNA_01320". The record is from RNAcentral. Lineage: Eukaryota; Viridiplantae; Streptophyta; Magnoliopsida; Brassicales; Brassicaceae.